AGUGAACGCUGGCGGUAGGCCUAACACAUGCAAGUCGAACGGCAGCACAGUAAGAGCUUGCUCUUACGGGUGGCGAGUGGCGGAUGGGUGAGGAAUACAUCGGAAUCUACUUUUUCGUGGGGGAUAACGUAGGGAAACUUACGCUAAUACCGCAUACGACCUACGGGUGAAAGCAGGGGAUCUUCGGACCUUGCGCGACUGAAUGAGCCGAUGUCGGAUUAGCUAGUUGGCGGGGUAAAGGCCCACCAGGGCGACGAUCCGUAGCUGGUCUGAGAGGAUGAUCAGCCACACUGGAACUGAGACACGUUCCAGACUCCUACGGGAGGCAGCGGUGGGGAAUAUUGGACAAUGGGCGCAGGCCUGAUCCAGCCAUACCGCGUGGGUGAAGAAGGCCUUCGGGUUGUAAAGCCCUUUUGUUGGGAAAGAAAAGCAGCAGGUUAAUACCCCGCUGUUCUGACGGUACCCAAAGAAUAAGCACCGGCUAACUUCGU
Molecule: ribosomal RNA, 491 nt
Filed under: uncultured bacterium
Lineage: Bacteria
Description: partial 16S ribosomal RNA
Rfam family: Bacterial small subunit ribosomal RNA
Source: RNAcentral